GUCCCAAAUAGGAGCAGUCCUGGGCCGCUAUCCUGUGAGGGUGGAGACGCUCCCCGAGACUGGACAGACACCGAGAGGUGGAGCUGAGCUAAUACGAGGCCAAGGGAAUCCCAGGUAUUCCAGUUAUCCUGAACUCACCAUAUAGAAGAGGAUGACCCUGAGCUUCUGAUACUCCAUCUCUUACUAGGAUUCCAGGAUCCCUUUCAAGGCUUCUACCAGGAGCAACUGCCCACAGUUCUGCCUUAAGAAUGCCUGAGAGACCUGGCAUCAGAGCCUGCCCCCCAAAUCAUCACUCACUCUGCCAGGCACACCAGGUCUUCCUCCCUUUACUCGCCGCACCCAAGAAAUCAAAACCCAAACUGAGAAUACUAGAAAGCAUCACCGUACAGCACGGAAAGAAAUAAUGAAAACAAAUCAACAGCCACACACUUGGACUCACCCAAGACCCAGGAGCCAGGAGUGUGGGUGAUUGUCAAGUUUGGGGACGGGUCAGCUCUUGGCUGGCCCAUCCCUCCAUUCUUCCCUCUUUCUGGGACUUGAAUGGGGUAGAGAAUUGAGAAUCUCCUUGGGAAUCUCAGCCCUCCUACCCCAUUACAUCCCAUCCCUUCUGCUUAUGUAGAGGCAAACAGGGUGGAACAAGGAGCUCCCAGCCUCUAGGAGAGCCUACAUCCCACAGGGGUUCCAGGGAGUUAGGUAAAAAAGAGAGAGAGAGAGAUUUUUAGAUACUUUCCCAUCAUUUCUGUCUCUCCAAACAAAUAAAUAACAAGCAAGAGAA
Molecule: long non-coding RNA, 775 nt
Filed under: Mus pahari (shrew mouse)
Lineage: Eukaryota; Metazoa; Chordata; Mammalia; Rodentia; Muridae
Description: lncRNA (MGP_PahariEiJ_G0003471.1)
Source: RNAcentral